AUGAUAACUCAUGUGCUUUUAAUGUAUCCCACUCUCGGAGAAAAGAAUGGAGUAGCUGAAAGGCGCAACCGUACACUUAUGAAUAUGGUGCGCAGCAUGAUGAGUUAUUCCAACUUGCCAUUGGGAUUAUGGAUGGAGGCGCUUAAAACCGCCAUUCACAUUCUCAAUAGAGUACCAAGCAAGUCGGUGCCCAAAACACCGUACGAGAUAUGGACAGGAAGGGUGCCCUCCCUAAAACACUUCAGGGUGUGGGGGUGCCCUGCUGAGGCCAAAAUGUUUAAUCCAAACAUUGCAAAGUUAGAUCCCAAAACAGUAAGUUGCCACUUCAUUGGCUAUCCAGACAGAUCAAAAGGUUUUCGUUUCUACUGCCCUGACAGAUAUACAAAGUUUGUAGAAACGAGACAUGCAGUCUUCUUAGAAGACGAAAUGAUGAGGGGGAGCUUGGUAGCUCGGAAAAUUGAUCUUGAGGAGAAGAGGGUGCAUGCACCUAAUCCGAUGAUUCAGGAGCCAUUUUUCUCACUACCAGUUGCAACUCCACCCAUGACAGCUAUGGGAAAAGACCCGGAACCUGUCCGUCAGGAGCCGACUGAACCCGAUGUUGAGCAUGAAAGGGAGGUGCAACAGCAAAUUUUAGAAGAAGUGCCAGAAGUUGAGGCACAAAAUGUGCCAGAAACUGAGGCCCUUAGAAGGUCUACAAGAUCAAGAAAGUCAGCUAUUCCUACUGACUUUAAAGUUUAUAACACAGAAAUGGUUCAUAUGGAAAAAGAUCCCACCUCAUAUGAAGAAGCCAUGAGAAGCCCUCAUUCAUCGAAGUGGAUGAAGGCAAUGGAAGACGAGAUGAAAUCGAUGAGUUCCAAAGAUGUUUGGGACUUAGAGGAAAUUCCUAAAGGAGCCAAAACAGUAGGCUGUAAAUGGGUCUACAAAAUUAAGUAUGACUGUAAAGGGAAUAUAGAAAAGUAUAAAGCACGACUCGUGGCAAAAGGAUUUACACAAAGAGAAGGGAUAGAUUACAAUGAGACAUUUUCUCCAGUCUCAUGUAAGGAUUCCUUCAGAAUCAUAAUGGCAUUAGUUGCUCAUUUUGAUUUAGAGUUACAUCAAAUGGAUGUUAAGACGGCAUUUCUGAAUCGUGAUUUAAAAGAAAAGGUCUACAUGAAACAACCCAAGGGUUUUAUCAUGGAAGGCAAGGAAAAUAUGGGAUGCCGCCUGAAGAAAUCCAUUUAUGGAUUAAGACAAGCCUCUCGGCAAUCAAACGAUUAA
RNAcentral lists this ribosomal RNA (1257 nucleotides) under Triticum aestivum (bread wheat). RNAcentral's name for it is "partial small subunit ribosomal RNA". The record is from RNAcentral. Lineage: Eukaryota; Viridiplantae; Streptophyta; Magnoliopsida; Poales; Poaceae.